This 1200-nucleotide ribosomal RNA is filed under the name Triticum aestivum (bread wheat). Its description in RNAcentral is "partial small subunit ribosomal RNA". Lineage: Eukaryota; Viridiplantae; Streptophyta; Magnoliopsida; Poales; Poaceae. The record is from RNAcentral.
AUGGAGGCGCGGCCGCCGGUGUUGGCCAUUGUCGUCGUCGCGCUGUGCGUUGUAUCCAUCUGCGGCGGUGUGGCCCACGGCGCGGCGGUCACCUACAACGUCAAGAACUAUGGCGCUAAAGGCAACGGCGCCACCGACGACACCAAGGCGCUAAUGGCGGCGUGGAAGGUGGCGUGCGCGGCGGCCGGCGCGGUGACGCUGCAGGUCCCGGCGGGGGUAUACUACAUGGGCCCGGCGCAGUUCCACGGCCCCUGCAAGGCCUCCUCCCUCACCUUCUUGCUCCAGGGUACGCUGAAGGCGGCGACGGAUCUGAGCCGCUUCGGCAACGACUGGAUCGAGUUCGGGUGGGUGAAGGGCCUCAUCGUCGCCGGCCAGAACGGCGCCGCUUUCGAUGGCCAGGGCGCCGCCUCCUGGCCCUUCAACAAGUGCCCCAUCCGAAAGGACUGCAAGGUCCUCCCCACCAGCGUGUUGUUCGUGAACAACGAGAACACGGUGGUGAAGGACAUCUCGUCGGUGAACAGCAAGUUCUUCCACUUCGCGCUGCUGCAGAACAAGAACACCCAGAUGAUCAACCUGCGGAUCAACGCGCCGGGGAACAGCCCCAACACGGACGGCGUCCACAUCGAGCGCUGCUCCGGGGUGACCAUCGUCGACACCAAGAUCAGCACCGGCGACGACUGCAUCUCCAUCGGCCAGGGGAACGACAACAUCGACAUCCAGCGCGUCACCUGCGGCCCCGGCCACGGCAUGAGCGUGGGCAGCCUGGGGCGGUACGUCGGGGAGGGGGACGUGACCCGCGUGCACGUCAAGGACAUGACCUUCGACGGCACCAUGAACGGGGUGCGGAUCAAGACGUGGGAGAACUCGCCCACCAAGAGCCUGGCGGCGCACAUGGUGUUCGAGAGCCUGGUGAUGAAGGACGUGCAGAACCCGGUGAUCAUCGACCAGAAGUACUGCCCCUACUACAACUGCGAGCACAAGUACGUGUCCGGGGUCACCAUCAAGAACGUCACCUUCAAGAACAUCAAGGGCACCUCGUCGCUGCCCGUCGCCGUGCUGCUCCGCUGCGGCAUGCCGUGCCUGGGCGUCGUGCUCCAGGACCUCGACCUCAAGUUCAAGGGCGCCGGCACCACAUCGUCCAAGUGCGAGAACGCCAAGGCAAAGUACGUCGGCUACAUGUACCCCAAGCCGUGCGUAUAG